Molecule: long non-coding RNA, 831 nt
Organism: Chrysemys picta bellii (western painted turtle)
Lineage: Eukaryota; Metazoa; Chordata; Testudines; Emydidae
Source: RefSeq, a predicted model, not a curated record
GAAAGGCAUCUGGUCUGAAUCUGAAGACGUCACGAGAUGGAGACUCCACCGUUCCAUUGGCAGUUUGUUCCAAAAGACGCUGACCCAGGUUCUGACUCACGGCCUGUCCCUGGAUCCUGGUUUCAGUGCUGCUCUCAGCCUGGUGCUGACUCUGCGUUCGGCAUCAAACAGUGGUACCUGACUGCUGCUCCAACCACCAGGCCUGACUGCCUAGAACCCAGAGCCUGACAGGUCCUGCCCCAAAGAACUUAGUCUAAGAGAGGAGCAGAACUUUGAUCUCCUAAAUGGCAAGCUGUGGCGAGAGGAAACUGGCUGAGGACAAUAUUCAAAUGACAGUGAUUGCAGCUGACCCACACUCCAUAAAAGAUGAGCUUCUCGCUUUUCUGGAAAGUUUCUUGGGCUCUGGUCCUGAUGCUGUGGGAUUCAGGUCGAGGCAGGAUUUGAACCAGGAACUCCAAGGAUCUCCCAGCAAGCAUCCAAACCGCUGGACUAUAGAGUGAUUAUUAACUGGCGCAGCACACACCAAUUAAAAAGUGUAACAGCUCCAACAGGAAAGACGGAGGACGCUUUAAGAACAGCCAUACCGGGUGAGACCAAAGGUCCAUCCAGCCCAGCAUCCCAUCUACUGACAGUGGCCAACGCCAGGUGCCCCAGAGGGAGUGAACCUAACAGGCAACGAUCGAGCGAUCUCUCUCCCGCCAUCCAUCUCCACUGUCUGACAAAUAGAGUCUAGGGACACCAUUCCUUACCCAUCCUGGCUAAUAGCCAUUAAUGGACUUAACCUCCAUGAAUUUAUCCAGUUCUCCUUUAAACGCUGUUAUAGUCCUAGCC